Molecule: non-coding RNA, 74 nt
Organism: Podarcis lilfordi (Lilford's wall lizard)
Lineage: Eukaryota; Metazoa; Chordata; Lepidosauria; Squamata; Lacertidae
Source: the annotation of a GenBank genome assembly
GCCUGGGUAGCUCAGUUGGAUAGAGAGUGGUGCUGAUAACACCAAGAUUGCAGGUUUGAGCCCCAUAUGAGACA